Molecule: non-coding RNA, 398 nt
Organism: Cinara cedri
Lineage: Eukaryota; Metazoa; Arthropoda; Insecta; Hemiptera; Aphididae
Source: the annotation of a GenBank genome assembly
CAAGUCUACUAUGCCAAUAGGUAUUGAUAUAGCUAUACUGAGACGUCUAGUUUCACAUAAGUGACCACUUCCGAAUCUAGCCCGUUUAGUGUAACGAAUCACUAACCAACGUAUCGUAUAGCCGGUGCGAAUGCAUACAUACAUCCAUUCAUCUCGAAAGACGAUGCGUUUAUAAAUGGUAAAUUAUAUGUUAUAUUCGGAUAAAAUGGAAAAUAUGCAACGUCUUUCCGACUUAUCGAUCGUCCGUCACAGCAAACAACUGUUUGUAAGUAGUAUAAAAAUGCCGAUCCUGGUGCUGGUGCUGGUGUCAUAUCCCCGCCACUAAACGCAGCUGCUCGGUACUCCACCCCCGUCGCAGCCCGCACCGCUCGAUACUCCUUAUUAUACCACGUAACCCA